This is a long non-coding RNA of Mytilus californianus (California mussel), 244 nucleotides long. RefSeq lists it as uncharacterized. NCBI's taxonomy places the organism in Eukaryota, Metazoa, Mollusca, Bivalvia, Mytilida, Mytilidae. The record is from RefSeq and is a predicted model, not a curated record. The transcript is spliced from 3 exons.
AUGUUUUAACUAGCAAGUAUGUGCAUAUGUGUACUUCACAAACGAGUCAAAGAGAUAAGAAUAAUAUGAUGAUAAUGCUUCAUAACUACAAUGCUAAGAACGCACAGUUUCGUAUACUUCCACAAUACAAAGUAAAAUCUGAAGGAGAAGUGGUUCAGAUAUAUGACCAGAUAGUAUAUGAGAGCAUAAAAUCUCCUGGUCACUUUUUUCAUGCUAGUCAGCCUUUUAAUGUAGACCAUUUAAC